UUUGGCAAUAUUGUUUACCAUGUCAAGCAAGAGCAGAAUAGGUAAGGUCAUCCCUGGGCACUUCAUGGCCAAGGUAAAGAAAAGAAUUUGUCCGGAAAAAAACCUCUCUAUAAGAGAAAGUAGGGGCAUUAAGGAAAUUCACUCCAUCUAAUUAAUAAAAGUCCCAUCCCACCAUCUCCGCCUUCAAGUGAGUACCCAAGGAGCAAUCGCAACAUCACGGCACAGCAACCAUUCAACCCCCUCCCUCCUUUUCUCUCUCUACCACCCAAGAGGGGAGAAGAAACCGAGAGGAGAAAAUUAAAAGAAUCUCCACCCUCGAAGAAGUCCAUCUCCAAUCCCCCUAUCUUUCUUCCGGAUGGCCCAGCUGGAUCAGGAGUAAUGUGAGGGAAGGAAAACCAAGACCAAAACCAAAAAAGAGAAGGGAUGAAAGAUAAGAGUGGCUUCAGGCGUGUAUCAAGCCAACCAAAUGGGU
Molecule: long non-coding RNA, 472 nt
Filed under: Phoenix dactylifera (date palm)
Lineage: Eukaryota; Viridiplantae; Streptophyta; Magnoliopsida; Arecales; Arecaceae
Description: long non-coding RNA (PDAC_LNC014825)
Source: RNAcentral